CUACGGGCGGCUGCAGUGAGGAAUAUUGCACAAUGGGGGGAACCCUGAUGCAGCAACGCCGCGUGGAGGAUGACGCAUUUCGGUGUGUAAACUCCUUUUAUAUGUCAAGAAAAUGACGGUAGCAUAUGAAUAAGCACCGGCUAACUCCGUGCCAGCAGCCGCGGUAAUACGGAGGGUGCAAGCGUUACUCGGAAUCACUGGGCGUAAAGGACGCGUAGGCGGGUUGUCAAGUCAAGUGUGAAAUCCUACAGCUUAACUGUAGAACUGCACUUGAAACUGGCAGCCUAGAGUAUGGGAGGGGGAGAUGGAAUUAGUGGUGUAGGGGUAAAAUCCGUAGAUAUCACUAGGAAUACCUAAAGCGAAGGCGAUCUCCUGGAACAUUACUGACGCUAAGGCGUGAAAGCGUGGGGAGCAAACAGGAUUAGAUACCCCUGUAGUC
This 439-nucleotide ribosomal RNA is filed under the name uncultured bacterium. RNAcentral describes it as "partial 16S ribosomal RNA". It matches the Rfam family "Bacterial small subunit ribosomal RNA", at positions 339 to 795 of the family's 1533-position model. The record is from RNAcentral.